GGCUAUGCAUGUCGGCCGGGUAUUCUUCCACCCUUCAGGAAAACCAGGUACCAUCUCAACGAGUUCUCUGGUAGGAAUUAUCCUAGGACUGCACAGGACCUGUUUAAUCUCAGACACUCCAGCCUUAGAGUAACUGUUGAGAGGGCAUUUGGAGCUCUGAAGAAUAGGUUUAAGAUCAUGGAUCAGAAGCCAUUCCACCCAUACUCCACUCAGGUUAAGCUAGUUCUUGCUUGUUGCAUUCUGCAUAACUGGAUCCUCUAGUGGGGCUUUGAUGAACACGUGCCUGAGGAGGAAGAGGUCGAGCCUGACGAUGUUGUUAGCUUCGGCCGUGGUGUGGAGGCAUCUGACAAUGAUGCUGGGAAGAACAAAAGGUUGGGGUGGGCAGAGGCAAUGUGGCUUAACAGAGGUCGGUGUAGGAUUUGA
RNAcentral lists this ribosomal RNA (423 nucleotides) under Triticum aestivum (bread wheat). RNAcentral describes it as "partial small subunit ribosomal RNA". The record is from RNAcentral. Lineage: Eukaryota; Viridiplantae; Streptophyta; Magnoliopsida; Poales; Poaceae.